Molecule: ribosomal RNA, 494 nt
Filed under: uncultured bacterium
Lineage: Bacteria
Description: partial 16S ribosomal RNA
Rfam family: Bacterial small subunit ribosomal RNA
Source: RNAcentral
GACGAACGCUGGCUGCGCGCUUAACACAUGCAAGUCGAACGGAAAGGCCUGCUUUCCCUGGUGGACUGCGGGUACUCGAGUGGCGAACGCGUGAGUAACACGUGCGUGAUCUGUCCCUAACUUGGGUAUAAGCCUGGGAAACUGGGUCUAAUUCUCGAGAGUACUGCAGGGUGGUGCCUGUUGUCGAAAACGAUUUUCUAGUUGUCGGCGAUUGGCUCGCGGUCUGUCAGCUUGUGGGUGGGGUAAUUGCCUACCAAGGCGGCGACGGGUAGCCGGCCUGAGAGGGUGGACGGCCACAUUGGGACUGAGAUACGGCCCAGACUCCUACGGGAGGCAGCAGUGGGGAAUAUUGCACAAUGGGCGGAAGCCUGAUGCAGCGACGCCGCGUGGGGGAUGACGGCCUUCGGGUUGUAAACUCCUUUCGACCGCGAGGAAGCCACCUGGUUGGAAGGGUGGUGACGGUAGUGGUAGAAGAAGCACCGGCUAACUACGUG